AUGAAAUCAACAGCCAUGAUCCCUUUGGCUCGCAAGAGGAAAAACACGCGCAAUACAGACCAUUGCAAAACGCGUAAAACUCGCAGGAAUAGUUGUUCGACAGAACAGGGCACUAGAAAAGUGCAUCUGUCAUAUGUGAAUGAGUGUAAAAAAAAAGAAAUUGCCAGAGAUAUUAGAAUUUCUAGGCAAUUAGGUCAUAGGAAAUCAACCAAAAGAACUACAAUGGUCUGUUAUCCUUGUAUGAAAUGGCAGAGCUCCUGCCCUUGCCCUCGGCAAGUUGCUCGGACAAAGCAUUUGUGGGGCAAAUCCGUAAUACUGAGAUCUUCCAAAAUCCUAUGA
This 339-nucleotide ribosomal RNA is filed under the name Triticum aestivum (bread wheat). RNAcentral's name for it is "partial small subunit ribosomal RNA". Lineage: Eukaryota; Viridiplantae; Streptophyta; Magnoliopsida; Poales; Poaceae. The record is from RNAcentral.